This 815-nucleotide long non-coding RNA is filed under the name Androctonus crassicauda. Lineage: Eukaryota; Metazoa; Arthropoda; Arachnida; Scorpiones; Buthidae. The record is from RNAcentral.
AAUUUGAAUAUCAGCUCUGCUUACAAGAUAUCAUCAUCCUAAACUUUACAAAAUAUGAAGAGUAGUGAUCUAUAGUAUCAUGAGUAAGUCUCAUAAUAGAUUCCCUGUCACAAGCAAAUCAUUCAUUCUAUGAGCUUGAAUCCUAGAUCCACAAAUAAUCAUUGCAGUUUUUUGAUUGAUAGGGCUAAAUGGGCAACUCAUACAAGGGAAAGCAAAAUAUUAAGACAAAGAAAGGGAAUUUGGAAUAAUAAUAGAAUUUAGAUCAAGUUAUGGAAAAAUGAACAGAACAGUGAAAAAGAUAAUACUUACAAUGUUGGGUAGUAGAUAGGCUUCUGGAUCUAAUGCUGGGCUGUCAGUCUUCCUUAUAUUUGUGACAUGUCCAAUAAAAGCCAAGAUAGUCUAGAUGCUGUCAGUCUAUAGAAUCUAGUGUGACUAUGGCUGUUUAUUGAUUUCUGAAGAAAUGAACAUAAAAUCCCGGUAUUUCUUUUUUAUAUAAUUGUUAAGUAUAUUGUUUUUGUUUCUGUGAGUUGGUAUAAUACAAAUGGGUGAAAAGAACAACAAUCAUGACCAAUUAUGAUUGCUGUUUUCCAGCUUUAAUCUAUUGUCUGUACACUUGUUAUAAGAGAGGAUCAACUUCUUGUUGUAUUCUUUCCUUAAGACCAUGGGAUAGAUGUUGCUAUCCCCAAGAUGAAAAUAGAUGUAAGCUUCUAUUAUCUUUAACAAUGAAAAUAUACAAUAUAAAUUAUAUAUGUUAUGGUAAAAGUGAUUAAUUGAUGAUUAUAUAUAAUUGCCAGUUAUUAUGCAUAAUCACCAAU